Molecule: long non-coding RNA, 411 nt
Filed under: Phaseolus vulgaris (common bean)
Lineage: Eukaryota; Viridiplantae; Streptophyta; Magnoliopsida; Fabales; Fabaceae
Description: long non-coding RNA (PVUL_LNC003810)
Source: RNAcentral
UUACUGUGACAACCACCACCUACACGUCCUUUUUCUUUCAAUGCCAUCCCUGCAACCUUUUCAUGCUACUACUACACUACAAAAGAAGAUUACAAAAGCAAUGUGAACGUGUAUAGUCUAAAUAUGUACUAAGUUAUUUUUCUGUCGCAUCAGAUUCCUCUGCAUGCCAGCUAAGUCACCUCUGUCACAUUUGCUCAAUUGCUAUAUCAUACUUUAGUUAGCUUCAUUACCUUUAUUAUAUGCUUAAACCAAGCUUAUAUGUAUCCCUAAUUGAUUCUCCUGAUUAGUCCAUUUAACUUUUAUUUUUACCUACCACCUCACCAUUCAAAGGAGACAUGCAUUUAAGAUUGCUAGAUCUGGAAACUCACAGCAAAUUUUUAUGCCAAGUCAACCCAACUAUCCUUGUUUCGU